RNAcentral lists this ribosomal RNA (403 nucleotides) under uncultured bacterium. RNAcentral's name for it is "partial 16S ribosomal RNA". It matches the Rfam family "Bacterial small subunit ribosomal RNA", at positions 28 to 526 of the family's 1533-position model. The record is from RNAcentral.
GACGAACGCUGGCGGCGUGCCUAAUACAUGCAAGUCGAACGCAGUGGGGACGGGUGAGUAACACGUGGGUAACCUCCCUUCAGCGGGGAUCACACUUGGAAACAUUUGCUAAACCGAUACUGAUGGAUGGACCCGCGGUGCAUGAGCUAGUUGGUGAGGUAACAGCUCACCAAGGCCACGAUGCAUAGCCGACCUGAGAGAGGGAUAGGACACACUGGGACUGAGAGACGGCCCAGACUCCUACGGGAGGCAGAAGUAGGGAAUCUUCGGCAAUGGACGAAAGUCUGACCGAGCGACGCCGCGGAAGUGAAGAAGGUUUUCGGAUCGUAAAACUCUGUUGUUAGAGAAGCGGUAUCUAACCAGAAAGCCACGGCUAACUAAGUGCCAGCCGCCGCGGUAAUUC